Molecule: ribosomal RNA, 333 nt
Filed under: uncultured Acholeplasma sp.
Lineage: Bacteria; Bacillati; Mycoplasmatota; Mollicutes; Acholeplasmatales; Acholeplasmataceae
Description: bacterial SSU rRNA
Rfam family: Bacterial small subunit ribosomal RNA
Source: RNAcentral
CAUGGUUGUCGUCAGCUCGUGUCGUGAGAUGUGGUUAAGUCCCGCAACGAGCGCACCCUAUUGCUAGUUACCAUCAUUAAGUUGGGGACUCUAGCGAGACUGCCAGUGAUAAACUGGAGGAAGGUGGGGAUGACGUCAAAUCAUCAUGCCCCUUAUGACCUGGGCUACAAACGUGAUACAAUGGCUGGAACAAAGGGAUGCGAAGCAGUGAUGUGGAGCGAAACCCAUAAAAACAGUCUCAGUUCGGAUUGAAGUCUGCAACUCGACUUCAUGAAGUCGGAAUCGCUAGUAAUCGCGGAUCAGAACGCCGCGGUGGAUACGUUCUCGGGGUUU